This 492-nucleotide ribosomal RNA is filed under the name uncultured bacterium. Its description in RNAcentral is "partial 16S ribosomal RNA". It matches the Rfam family "Bacterial small subunit ribosomal RNA", at positions 29 to 507 of the family's 1533-position model. The record is from RNAcentral.
AGUGAACGCUGGCGGUAGGCCUAACACAUGCAAGUCGAACGGCAGCACAGUAAGAGCUUGCUCUUACGGGUGGCGAGUGGCGGACGGGUGAGGAAUACAUCGGAAUCUACUUUUUCGUGGGGGAUAACGUAGGGAAACUUACGCUAAUACCGCAUACGACCUACGGGUGAAAGCAGGGGAUCGUCGGACCUUGCGCGAUUGAAUGAGCCGAUGUCGGAUUAGCUAGUUGGCGGGGUAAAGGCCCACCAAGGCGACGAUCCGUAGCUGGUCUGAGAGGAUGAUCGGCCACACUGGAACUGAGACACGGUCCAGACUCCUACGGGAGGCAGCAGUGGGGAAUAUUGGACAAUGGGCGCAAGCCUGAUCCAGCCAUACCGCGUGGGUGAAGAAGGCCUUCGGGUUGUAAAGCCCUUUUGUUGGGAAAGAAAAGCAGCAGGUUAAUACCCCGCUGUUCUGACGGUACCCAAAGAAUAAGCACCGGCUAACUUCGUG